RNAcentral lists this ribosomal RNA (2396 nucleotides) under activated sludge metagenome. RNAcentral's name for it is "bacterial LSU rRNA". It matches the Rfam family "Bacterial large subunit ribosomal RNA", at positions 473 to 2724 of the family's 2925-position model. The record is from RNAcentral.
CUCCUUGAUGACCGAUAGCGGACAAGUACCGUGAGGGAAAGGUGAAAAGUACCCCGGGAGGGGAGUGAAAUAGUACCUGAAACCGAUCGCCUACAAUCCGUCGGAGCCUCCUUGUUGGGGUGACGGCGUGCCUUUUGAAGAAUGAGCCUGCGAGUUAGUGGUAUGUGGCGAGGUUAACCCGGGUGGGGGAGCCGUAGCGAAAGCGAGUCCGAAUAGGGCGGUUGAGUCGCAUGCUCUAGACCCGAAGCGAAGUGAUCUAUCCAUGGCCAGGGUGAAGCGACGGUAAGACGUCGUGGAGGCCCGAACCCACUUGGGUUGAAAACCGAGGGGAUGAGCUGUGGAUAGGGGUGAAAGGCCAAUCAAACUUCGUGAUAGCUGGUUCUCCCCGAAAUGCAUUUAGGUGCAGCGUCGUCUGUUUCUUACCGGAGGUAGAGCACUGGAUGGUCUAGGGGGCCCACAAGCUUACCGAAAUCAGCCAAACUCCGAAUGCCGGUAAGUGAGAGGACGGCAGUGAGACUGUGGGGGAUAAGCUUCAUAGUCGAGAGGGAAACAGCCCAGAUCAUCAGCUAAGGCCCCUAAGGGACUGCUAAGUGGAAAAGGAUGUGGAGUUGCUUUGACAACCAGGAGGUUGGCUUGGAAGCAGCCACCCUUGAAAGAGUGCGUAAUAGCUCACUGGUCAAGUGAUUCUGCGCCGACAAUGUAGCGGGGCUCAAGCAGUCCGCCGAAGCUGUGGCACUCACACGUGUGCUUGGCCCCUUUUGUGGGGUUUAGGUGUGUGGGUGGGUAGGGGAGCGUCGUGUGUGCGGUGAAGCGGCGGGGUGACCCAGUCGUGGAGUGCACACGAGUGAGAAUGCAGGCAUGAGUAGCGAAUGACGGGUGAGAAACCCGUCCGCCGAAUAUCCAAGGGUUCCAGGGUCAAGCUAAUCUGCCCUGGGUAAGUCGGGACCUAAGGCGAGGCCGACAGGCGUAGUCGAUGGACAACCAGUUGAUAUUCUGGUACCGGCGAAACAACGUCCGUGCUGAGGCGGGUGAUACUAAGCAUGCGAGCUCAUUGUGGCCCUUUGGGGUUGUGGUGGGUGAGUCUGUGACCUGAUCUUGUAGUAGGCAAGCUGCGGAGGGACGCAGGAAGGUAGCCCAUCCCGGGCGGUGGUUGUCCCGGGCUAAGAUGGUAGGCCGGCACGUAGGCAAAUCCGCGUGUUGUGUGGCUGAGAGUUGAUGGCACUGCGAAACAUGUUUUGUGGUGUGGGUGAUCCUAUGCUGCCUAGAAAAGCUUCGUGAGCGAGUUGUGAGCCGCCCGUACCCUAAACCGACACAGGUGGAUAGGUAGAGAAUACCAAGGCGAUCGAGAGAAUCGUGGUGAAGGAACUCGGCAAAAUACCCCCGUAACUUCGGGAUAAGGGGGACCUGACACGUCAACACAUUUUCUGUGGGUAGCGUGGAGGGUCGCAGAGACCAGGCCCAAGCGACUGUUUACUAAAAACACAGGUCCGUGCGAAGUUGUAAGACGAUGUAUACGGACUGACUCCUGCCCGGUGCUGGAAGGUUAAGGGGACCUGUCAGGGUAGUGAUACCCGAAGCGGAGAACUUAAGCCCCAGUAAACGGCGGUGGUAACUAUAACCAUCCUAAGGUAGCGAAAUUCCUUGUCGGGUAAGUUCCGACCUGCACGAAUGGAGUAACGAUUUGGGCGCUGUCUCCACCACGAACUCGGCGAAAUUGCACUACGAGUAAAGAUGCUCGUUACGCGCAGCAGGACGGAAAGACCCCGGGACCUUUACUAUAGUUUGGUAUUGGUGAUCGGUACAGCUUGUGUAGGAUAGGUGGGAGACUGUGAAGUCCGGACGCUAGUUCGGGUGGAGUCAUCGUUGAAAUACCACUCUGGCUGUUCUGGUUAUCUAACCUCGGACCAUGAUCUGGUUCAGGGACAGUGCCUGAUGGGUAGUUUGACUGGGGCGGUCGCCUCCUAAAAGGUAACGGAGGCGCCCAAAGGUUCCCUCAGCCUGGUUGGCAAUCAGGUGUUGAGUGUAAGUGCACAAGGGAGCUUGACUGUGAGACUGACAAGUCGAGCAGGGACGAAAGUCGGGACUAGUGAUCUGACGGUGGCGUGUGGAAGCGCCGUCACUCAACGGAUAAAAGGUACCCCGGGGAUAACAGGCUGAUCUUGCCCGAGCGUCCAUAGCGACGGCAUGGUUUGGCACCUCGAUGUCGGCUCGUCGCAUCCUGGGGCUGGAGUCGGUCCCAAGGGUUGGGCUGUUCGCCCAUUAAAGCGGCACGCGAGCUGGGUUUAGAACGUCGUGAGACAGUUCGGUCCCUAUCCGCUGCGCGCGUAGGAAUCUUGAGAGAGGCUGUCCUUAGUACGAGAGGACCGGGACGGACGAACCUCUGGUGUGCCAGUUGU